AUUGUUCGCAAUGGGCGCAAGCCUGCCGACGCAACGCCGCGUGGAGGAUGAAGGUCUUCGGAUUGUAAACUCCUGUCGAACGGGACGAACACCUGCCGGGAUAACACCCUGGUGGGCUGACGGUACCGUGAGAGGAAGCCCCGGCUAACUCUGUGCCAGCAGCCGCGGUAAUACAGAGGGGGCAAGCGUUGUUCGGAAUUACUGGGCGUAAAGGGCGCGUAGGCGGCCACCUAAGUCAGACGUGAAAUCCCUCGGCUCAACCGGGGAACUGCGUCUGAGACUGGGUGGCUUGAAUCCGGGAGAGGGAUGUGGAAUUCCAGGUGUAGCGGUGAAAUGCGUAGAUAUCUGGAGGAACACCGGUGGCGAAGGCGGCAUCCUGGACCGGUAUUGACGCUGAGGCGCGAAAGCCAGGGGAGCAAAC
Molecule: ribosomal RNA, 421 nt
Filed under: uncultured bacterium
Lineage: Bacteria
Description: bacterial SSU rRNA
Rfam family: Bacterial small subunit ribosomal RNA
Source: RNAcentral